RNAcentral lists this ribosomal RNA (434 nucleotides) under uncultured bacterium. RNAcentral's name for it is "partial 16S ribosomal RNA". It matches the Rfam family "Bacterial small subunit ribosomal RNA", at positions 29 to 507 of the family's 1533-position model. The record is from RNAcentral.
AGCGAACGCUGGCGGCAGGCCUAACACAUGCAAGUCGAACGAACCUUUCGGGAUUAGUGGCGGACGGGGGAGGAACACGGCGGAACGUGCCUGUAUGUUCGGGAUAACUCAGGGAAACUGGUGCUAAUACCGAAUGUGCUCUUCGGGGGAAAGAUUUAUCGCCUUUAGAGCGGCCCGCGUCUGCUUAGCUAGUUGGUUGUGGUAAUGGCUCAUCAAGGCUACGAUCAGCAGCUGGUCUGUGAGGAUGAUCACCCACUUCUGCACUGGGCCACGGCCCAAAAUCUUACGCGAGGCAGCAGUGCGUAAUCCUGCGCAACCGGCGAAAUGAUGACGCCGCCCUGCCGGGUGAACGAUGUUGGUCUUAGGAUUGAAAAAUUCUUUCACCGGGGACGAUAAUGACGGUACCCAGAGAAGAAGCCCCGGCUAACUUCGUG